RNAcentral lists this long non-coding RNA (267 nucleotides) under Homo sapiens (human). RNAcentral's name for it is "HSALNT0408102". Lineage: Eukaryota; Metazoa; Chordata; Mammalia; Primates; Hominidae. The record is from RNAcentral.
AUGAAGUAGCCAGGCAUAGCUUCAGCCAGGAGACUGAAGCACCAGAUGCUGGAGGGAGUGGAGGAAGAAGUUUAAUUACCACAUACAGCUCUUCCAUAUGCAAGGUCUCUGGGGCAAAACUGUCAUUCUGUCUGAAGCCAGACCCUCAAUGUCAGACUAAGAGAGUCGGAUGGAGACUACAUCUUCUGUGUGUGUUGCAAUGGGAGGACUUCUCUCCACCGAGUUUAGUGAGGGAAGGAUCCAAAUCAUAGGUUAAAGGGAAUUCUG